RNAcentral lists this non-coding RNA (21 nucleotides) under Caenorhabditis elegans. Lineage: Eukaryota; Metazoa; Nematoda; Chromadorea; Rhabditida; Rhabditidae. The record is from RNAcentral.
UUCACGUUGUUUAUUAUCUAA